RNAcentral lists this ribosomal RNA (294 nucleotides) under uncultured eukaryote. RNAcentral's name for it is "partial 18S ribosomal RNA". It matches the Rfam family "Eukaryotic small subunit ribosomal RNA", at positions 1470 to 1796 of the family's 1831-position model. The record is from RNAcentral.
CCCUUUGAUACUCUGGGCGGCACGCGCGCUACAAUGGAUAAUACAACGUGUUACGUAACCGAAAGGUUAUGUAAAUCACAAAUGUUACGUCUUGAAUGGGAUAGUUUAUUGCAACUACAGACUUGAACUAGGAAUCCCUUGUAGGUACACUGAAGCAUAGUGUACCGAAUACGUCCCUGCCGUUUGUACACACCGCCCGUCGUUUCUUCCGACUGAUACUCAUUGUGAAUUACGAGGAUGCGUUAGCAAAAUCGUUGUAAAUGCUGGGUAUUGGAGGAAGAAAAAGUCGUAACA